RNAcentral lists this ribosomal RNA (609 nucleotides) under uncultured bacterium. Its description in RNAcentral is "bacterial SSU rRNA". It matches the Rfam family "Bacterial small subunit ribosomal RNA", at positions 338 to 951 of the family's 1533-position model. The record is from RNAcentral.
CCUACGGGAGGCAGCAGUAAGGAAUAUUGGUCAAUGGGCGCAAGCCUGAACCAGCCAUGCCGCGUGCAGGAUGACGGCCCUCUGGGUUGUAAACUGCUUUUAUACGGGAAGAACAGCAUCUACGUGUAGGUGUUUGACGGUACUGUAAGAAUAAGGACCGGCUAACUUCGUGCCAGCAGCCGCGGUAAUACGAAGGGUCCAAGCGUUAUCCGGAUUUAUUGGGUUUAAAGGGUGCGUAGGCGGCUUUUUAAGUCAGUGGUGAAAGCCUGAUGCUCAACAUCAGAACUGCCAUUGAUACUGAAGAGCUUGAGUACAGUUGAGGUUGGCGGAAUGUGUCAUGUAGCGGUGAAAUGCUUAGAUAUGACACAGAACACCGAUUGCGAAGGCAGCUAGCUAAGCUGUUACUGACGCUGAUGCACGAAAGCGUGGGGAGCAAACAGGAUUAGAUACCCUGGUAGUCCACGCCCUAAACGUUGAUAACUCGUUGUUAGCGAUAUACUGUUAGCGACCAAGCGAAAGCAUUAAGUUAUCCACCUGGAAGUACGGUGCAGAUUGAAACUCAAAUGAAUUGACCGGGNNGAGAGNGCGAGGACGACACGAGGGAGGAGG